Molecule: ribosomal RNA, 460 nt
Filed under: uncultured bacterium
Lineage: Bacteria
Description: partial 16S ribosomal RNA
Rfam family: Bacterial small subunit ribosomal RNA
Source: RNAcentral
CCUACGGGGGGCAGCAGUGAGGAAUAUUGGUCAAUGGGCGCGAGCCUGAACCAGCCAAGUAGCGUGAAGGAAGACUGCCCUACGGGUUGUAAACCUCUUUUAUAAAGGAAUAAAGUGAGGCACGUGUGCCUUUUUGCAUGUACUUGAUGAAAAAGGAUCGGCUAACUCCGUGCCAGCAGCCGCGGUAAUACGGAGGAUCCGAGCGUUAUCCGGAUUUAUUGGGUUUAAAGGGUGCGUAGGUGGGUUGUUAAGUCAGUUGUGAAAGUUUGCGGCUCAACCGUAAAAUAGCAGUUGAUACUGGCAGUCUUGAGUACAGUUGAGGUAGGCGGAAUGCGUGGUGUAGCGGUGAAAUGCUUAGAUAUCGCGAAGAACUCCGAUUGCGAAGGCAGCUUACUAGACUGCCACUGACAUUGAUGCUCGAAAGUGUGGGUAUCGAACAGGAUUAGAUACCCCGGUAGUC